This 251-nucleotide ribosomal RNA is filed under the name uncultured prokaryote. Its description in RNAcentral is "partial 16S rRNA". It matches the Rfam family "Bacterial small subunit ribosomal RNA", at positions 525 to 775 of the family's 1533-position model. The record is from RNAcentral.
ACGUAAGGGGCAAGCGUUAUCCGGAUUUACUGGGUGUAAAGGGAGCGAAGAUGGUUAUGCAAGUCUGGAGUGAAACCCCACAGCUCAACUGUGGGCUUGCUUUGGAAACUGUGUAACUAGAGUACUGGAGAGGUAAGCGGAAUUCCUAGUGUAGCGGUGAAAUGCUUAUAUAUUUGGGGGAACACCGGUGGCGAAGGCGUCUUACCAGGAAGCAACCGACAGUGAGGCACGAAAGCGUGGGGAGCAAACCG